CCUCGGGUGGCUGCAGUGGGGAAUAUUGGACAAUGGGCGAAAGCCUGUUCCAGCCAUGCCGCGUGUGUGAAGAAGGCCUUCGGGUUGUAAAGCACUUUCAGUGGGGAAGAAAGCCUUGGGGCUAAUACCCUCGAGGAAGGACAUCACCCACAGAAGAAGCACCGGCUAACUCCGUGCCAGCAGCCGCGGUAAUACGGAGGGUGCGAGCGUUAAUCGGAAUUACUGGGCGUAAAGCGCGCGUAGGCGGUCUGAUAAGCCGGUUGUGAAAGCCCCGGGCUCAACCUGGGAACGGCAUCCGGAACUGUCAGGCUAGAGUGCAGGAGAGGAAGGUAGAAUUCCCGGUGUAGCAGUGAAAUGCGUAGAGAUCGGGAGGAAUACCAGUGGCGAAGGCGGCCUUCUGGACUGACACUGACGCUGAGGUGCGAAAGCGUGGGUAGCAAACAGGAUUAGAUACCCUAGUAGUC
RNAcentral lists this ribosomal RNA (464 nucleotides) under Vreelandella stevensii. Its description in RNAcentral is "partial 16S ribosomal RNA". It matches the Rfam family "Bacterial small subunit ribosomal RNA", at positions 339 to 795 of the family's 1533-position model. Lineage: Bacteria; Pseudomonadati; Pseudomonadota; Gammaproteobacteria; Oceanospirillales; Halomonadaceae. The record is from RNAcentral.